GGGGCUGUAGCUCAGUUGGCUAGAGCACCACAAUGGCAUUGUGGGGGUCAGGGGUUCAAGUCCCCUCAGCUCCA
Molecule: transfer RNA, 74 nt
Filed under: Spirochaetales bacterium
Lineage: Bacteria; Pseudomonadati; Spirochaetota; Spirochaetia; Spirochaetales
Description: tRNA-Ala
Rfam family: tRNA
About the family: Transfer RNA (tRNA) molecules are approximately 80 nucleotides in length. Their secondary structure includes four short double-helical elements and three loops (D, anti-codon, and T loops). Further hydrogen bonds mediate the characteristic L-shaped molecular structure. tRNAs have two regions of fundamental functional importance: the anti-codon, which is responsible for specific mRNA codon recognition, and the 3' end, to which the tRNAs corresponding amino acid is attached (by aminoacyl-tRNA synthetases). tRNAs cope with the degeneracy of the genetic code in two manners: having more than one tRNA (with a specific anti-codon) for a particular amino acid; and 'wobble' base-pairing, i.e. permitting non-standard base-pairing at the 3rd anti-codon position.
Source: RNAcentral